CGCCACCGCGCCCGAGGCCGCCGGCUGCCCCUAGCAGAACCUUCCUGAAUCACAGUGUGGCUUCCGAC
Molecule: long non-coding RNA, 68 nt
Filed under: Monodelphis domestica (gray short-tailed opossum)
Lineage: Eukaryota; Metazoa; Chordata; Mammalia; Didelphimorphia; Didelphidae
Description: lncRNA (ENSMODG00000047433.1)
Source: RNAcentral